RNAcentral lists this small RNA (133 nucleotides) under Klebsiella variicola. RNAcentral's name for it is "RtT sRNA". It matches the Rfam family "RtT RNA". From Rfam's summary of the family: This family represents a bacterial cis-regulatory element known as RtT RNA. Lineage: Bacteria; Pseudomonadati; Pseudomonadota; Gammaproteobacteria; Enterobacterales; Enterobacteriaceae. The record is from RNAcentral. RNAcentral also lists the same sequence under 3 other names.
UAUUCUGCCCUACGGGGAAGGAUGAGAAGCUUCGACCAAGGUUCGACUCGAGCGCCAGCGAGAGAACGUUGCCGCAGGCAACGGCCCGAAGGGCGAGGAGCGAUAGCGACGAGUUAUCCUUCCCCCACCACCA